This 148-nucleotide transfer RNA is filed under the name Atlantibacter hermannii. Its description in RNAcentral is "tRNA-OTHER". Lineage: Bacteria; Pseudomonadati; Pseudomonadota; Gammaproteobacteria; Enterobacterales; Enterobacteriaceae. The record is from RNAcentral.
GGCGGUUUAAAUGGUCAAUAACAUGUAAUGAUUGGCAAAAAAUGGCAAAACAUGUCAAUGAUUUAAUUCAUAAAUAACUGAUUUUACAUUCAUAUUGAAGGAACUCAUAAUCGCUUGGUCGUUGGUUCAAAUCCAACAGGGGCCACCA